UUUUCUUCUUAGACACCGUAAAACAAAAAACCCUAGGGACUGACCUAAGGAGACCCCUUCAUCUUCUUCUUAACCAGGAGCACACCCAAAACCUAACACCUAAUAGCCCAGCCGCCAGUCCACCUCUCACCACCGGUUGCUCACACCGAACAGCCACCACCCCAACUCCCUCCUCUCAAAUCUGCCGCAACAAAACCAGCCGCACACCACCAUGACCACAGCCGCCGCCCGCCAGACCUCAUACCAACCAACCAACGAACUCCCUCAUCCCAAUAAUGAGCCAGCCACUGACCACUCAGACGCCAGCGCCCACCACCUCUUCAUCACCUUCAGCCAACCAACCGCACACCACCAAGACCACAGCAGUCACCGACCUUACUCCUCUAGUCCCUUCACGCCGACCAGUCACCGAAUUUGAUCACUGGUGGGUCUGGUCGGCCACACACGGCCAGAAAAAUUUAAAAAAAAAAAAGAACAGAGGACAAAGAGCAAAAACAGAGGGAGUUUUAGAAGAGCAAAACUUGAAAAAACUUCAGCCGAUAGCUUUCAGAUCUAGUGGAAAUUCCAAAAACGAAAUAAUUCUUGUUUCGUGUAGUCAUUUCUAAGAAGAAAUUGAAAUGGAGUAGCCGAGGUAUUUGGAUUCGAAUCAAAAUUUUCCGGCGCUUGGUUAGAGUUCGAGGUUGCAGGCAAGGUCUCCGUUCAAGGUCCCUGUUUUCAGCUUAAAAUUCAAGAGAACAUUGAUUUAUUGAGAGCUCGAGCAUGACAGAUAUCUCAGGACUAUCGCAUUUGGGAGCUUGUUUGAAGAGACCUUUUAUAUUUUUGAGUCUUGUCUUGUCUUGUAGUUUUGAGUCUUUUAGGUGGUGUAAGAGUUUGGCGAGUCUUUUGUCAUCGUACUUCCCAUUUUGUAUUUGAAAAAAAAACGGUUAUAAAUGAAAUGUUCAAAAAGAUUUUUGUUUUCAGUU
This is a long non-coding RNA of Nicotiana attenuata, 962 nucleotides long. RefSeq lists it as uncharacterized. The transcript has 2 exons. NCBI's taxonomy places the organism in Eukaryota, Viridiplantae, Streptophyta, Magnoliopsida, Solanales, Solanaceae. The record is from RefSeq and is a predicted model, not a curated record.